RNAcentral lists this ribosomal RNA (135 nucleotides) under uncultured bacterium. RNAcentral's name for it is "partial 16S ribosomal RNA". The record is from RNAcentral.
CACGAAGUUGGCCGGGGCUUCUUCUCACGCUACCGUCAUCAUCGUCGCGUGCGAAAGGACUAUACAACCCUAGGGCCUUCGUCAUCCACGCGGCAUGGCUGGAUCAGGCUUGCGCCCAUUGUCCAAUAUUCCCCA